This 1457-nucleotide ribosomal RNA is filed under the name uncultured bacterium. RNAcentral's name for it is "bacterial SSU rRNA". It matches the Rfam family "Bacterial small subunit ribosomal RNA". The record is from RNAcentral.
AAUGAACGCUGGCGGCGUGCCUAACACAUGCAAGUCGAACGAGAAAGGUAGCAAUACUGAGUACAGUGGCGCACGGGUGAGUAAUGCAUGGGAAUCUGCCUUUUAGUGGAGAAUACCUUGGAGAAAUCUAGGUUAAUACUGCAUAAUCCGGCAACGGCAAAGGGGGCCUCGUGCUCCCGCUAAAAGAUGAGCCCAUGUUCUAUUAGUUAGUUGGUGGGGUAAAAGCCUACCAAGACGAAGAUGGAUAGCCGACCUGAGAGGGUGAUCGGCCACACUGGAACUGAGACACGGUCCAGACUCCUACGGGAGGCAGCAGUGGGGAAUAUUGCACAAUGGGCGAAAGCCUGAUGCAGCGACGCCGCGUGGAGGAUGAAGGUUUUCGGAUUGUAAACUCCUGUUAAGUGGGAAGAAAGACUCUGACCUAAUACGUCAGGGGGAUGACGGUACCACUAGAGAAAGCACCGGCAAACUUCGUGCCAGCAGCCGCGGUAAUACGAAGGGUGCUAGCGUUAUUCGGAAUCACUGGGCGUAAAGAGCGUGUAGGCGGUUUGUUAAGUCAACUGUUAAAGCACCCAGCUUAACUGGGUAAAGGCAGGUGAAACUGGCAGGCUAGAGUGCAAGAGAGAGAAGUGGAAUUGUCGGAGUAGCGGUAAAAUGCGUAGAUCUCGACAGGAACACCGGUUGCGAAGGCGGCUUCUUGGCUUGUAACUGACGCUAAAGCGCGAAAGCGUGGGGAGCAAACAGGAUUAGAUACCCUGGUAGUCCACGCCGUAAACGAUGAUCACUAGAUGUGGGAUUGGCAUAGCCGAUUCUGUGUCGUAGCUAACGCGUUAAGUGAUCCGCCUGGGAAUUACGGUCGCAAGAUUAAAACUCAAAGGAAUUGACGGGGGUCCGCACAAGCGGUGGAACAUGUGGUUUAAUUCGACACUACGCGAGGAACCUUACCUGGGUUUGACAUGUAACUGCCACUGGUAGAAAUAUUGGGUUCUGUAGCAAUACAGACGGUUACACAGGUGCUGCAUGGCUGUCGUCAGCUCGUGUCGUGAGACGUCGGGUUAAGUCCUUGAACGAGCGCAACCCUUGCCGUUAGUUGCUUAUCGAAAGAUGGCUCUCUAGCGGGACUGCCUUGGAAACAAGGAGGAAGGUGGGGAUGACGUCAAGUCCUCAUGGCCCUUAUACCCAGGGCUACACACGUGUUACAAUGGCGAGGGACAGAGGGGUGCAAAGCUGCGAAGCAGAGCAAAUCCCUGAAAACUCGUCUAAGUUCGGAUUGUAGUCUGCAACUCGACUACAUGAAGUUGAAAUCGCUAGUAAUCGCAUAUCAGAACGAUGCGGUGAAUACGUUCUCGGACCUUGUACACACCGCCCGUCACACCACGAAAGUUGUUCGCACCCGAAAUCAUCUUAGCUAACCGUCAAGGAGGCGGGUGAUGAAGGUGAGGAUAGUGAUUGGGGUG